RNAcentral lists this ribosomal RNA (502 nucleotides) under uncultured bacterium. Its description in RNAcentral is "partial 16S ribosomal RNA". It matches the Rfam family "Bacterial small subunit ribosomal RNA", at positions 30 to 523 of the family's 1533-position model. The record is from RNAcentral.
AUUGAACGCUGGCGGAAUGCUUUACACAUGCAAGUCGAACGGCAGCAUAGGUGCUUGCACCUGAUGGCGAGUGGCGAACGGGUGAGUAAUAUAUCGGAACGUGCCCAGUCGUGGGGGAUAACGUAGCGAAAGCUACGCUAAUACCGCAUACGAUCUAUGGAUGAAAGCGGGGGACCUUCGGGCCUCGCGCGAUUGGAGCGGCCGAUAUCAGAUUAGGUAGUUGGUGAGGUAAAGGCUCACCAAGCCGACGAUCUGUAGCUGGUCUGAGAGGACGACCAGCCACACUGGGACUGAGACACGGCCCAGACUCCUACGGGAGGCAGCAGUGGGGAAUUUUGGACAAUGGACGCAAGUCUGAUCCAGCCAUUCCGCGUGCAGGACGAAGGCCUUCGGGUUGUAAACUGCUUUUGUACAGAACGAAAAGGUUUCUAUUAAUACUAGGGGCUCAUGACGGUACUGUAAGAAUAAGCACCGGCUAACUACGUGCCAGCCGCCGCAGUAA